Molecule: ribosomal RNA, 253 nt
Filed under: uncultured bacterium
Lineage: Bacteria
Description: partial 16S ribosomal RNA
Rfam family: Bacterial small subunit ribosomal RNA
Source: RNAcentral
GACGAACCGUGCGAACGUUGUUCGGAAUCACUGGGCUUAAAGGGCGCGUAGGCGGGUCAGCAAGUCCGGGGUGAAAUCUUUCGGCUUAACCGGAAAAGGGCCUUGGAGACUGCUGGUCUUGAGGGAGGUAGGGGCAUGUGGAACUUCCGGUGGAGCGGUGAAAUGCGUUGAUAUCGGAAGGAACGCCGGUGGCGAAAGCGACGUGCUGGCCCUCUUCUGACGCUGAGGCGCGAAAGCUAGGGGAGCAAACAGG